UGUUUUCUGCUCAGAUUGAACGCUGGCGGCGUGCUUAACACAUGCAAGUCGAGCGAGAAAGUUCUCUUCGGAGAAUGAGUAGAGCGGCGCACGGGUGAGUAACGCGUGGAUAAUCUACCCUGAAGAUCGGGAUAACAGUUGGAAACGACUGCUAAUACCGGAUAUCCUGCAUAUUUAACUUUAUGUGGUAAAGGCGGCCUCUAUUUAUAAGCUGCCGCUUUGGGAUGAGUCCGCGUCUCAUUAGCUUGUUGGUGGGGUAAUGGCCUACCAAGGCUACGAUGAGUAGCUGGUCUGAGAGGAUGAUCAGCCACACUGGGACUGAAACACGGCCCAGACUCCUACGGGAGGCAGCAGUGGGGAAUAUUGCGCAAUGGGGGAAACCCUGACGCAGCGACGCCGCGUGCGGGAAGAAGGCCUUCGGGUCGUAAACCGCUGUCAGGAGGGAAGAAACUGUUAGGGUAUAAUACGCCCUUUCACUGACGGUACCUCCAAAGGAAGCACCGGCUAACUCCGUGCCAGCAGCCGCGGUAAUACGGAGGGUGCGAGCGUUAAUCGGAAUCACUGGGCGUAAAGCGCACGUAGGCGGCGCAUCAAGUCAGGCGUGAAAGCCCUCGGCUCAACCGGGGAAUUGCGUUUGAAACUGGUGCGCUGGAGUCUCGGAGAGGUUGGCGGAAUUCCAGGUGUAGGAGUGAAAUCCGUAGAUAUCUGGAGGAACACCGGUGGCGAAGGCGGCCAACUGGACGAGAACUGACGCUGAGGUGCGAAAGCGUGGGUAGCAAACAGGAUUAGAUACCCUGGUAGUCCACGCUGUAAACGAUGGAUAUUAGGUGUCGGGGGUUACCUUCGGUGCCGCAGUUAACGCGUUAAAUAUCCCGCCUG
RNAcentral lists this ribosomal RNA (879 nucleotides) under bacterium KA3110A-SRB-2-4-100000x-1A(SRB 33). RNAcentral describes it as "bacterial SSU rRNA". It matches the Rfam family "Bacterial small subunit ribosomal RNA", at positions 14 to 875 of the family's 1533-position model. The record is from RNAcentral.